Molecule: ribosomal RNA, 404 nt
Filed under: uncultured bacterium
Lineage: Bacteria
Description: bacterial SSU rRNA
Rfam family: Bacterial small subunit ribosomal RNA
Source: RNAcentral
UUUUGGACAAUGGGCGCAAGCCUGAUCCAGCCAUUCCGCGUGAGUGAAGAAGGCCUUCGGGUUGUAAAGCUCUUUCGCAAGGGAAGAAAACUUACUUUCUAAUAAAGAGUGAGGUUGACGGUACCUCGAUAAGAAGCACCGGCUAACUGCGUGCCAGCAGCCGCGGUAAUACGUAGGGUGCGAGCGUUAAUCGGAAUUACUGGGCGUAAAGCGUGCGCAGGCGGCUUUGUAAGUCAGAUGUGAAAUCCCCGAGCUCAACUUGGGAACUGCGUUUGAAACUACAAGGCUAGAAUAUGUCAGAGGGGGGUAGAAUUCCACGUGUAGCAGUGAAAUGCGUAGAGAUGUGGAGGAAUACCAAUGGCGAAGGCAGCCCCCUGGGGUAAUAUUGACGCUCAUGCACGAAA